UUCCAUUUGGACCGUGCCUCUUCUUUUGUAGCAUAGACAUACACAAUCAACGCAAAUUCAAUACAACAUAUACUUUUUCAGCCACUUUCAGCCCAAGAAUGCAUUUCAAGUAAACAACGGAUAAUAUUGUGAGUAUAUGUACAUAACUACCAGCAUUCGAGUAACAUGUGCAACAGUACAUCAAAAUUCUCAACAAAUUUAGCAUUACAAGUCAAUAACAUAUAAAGCAAGUUGCUAACUGGGGCUUUAAGCUUUCUCCGAAUUUCUUCGGGUAGAAUUCCUGUAAAUGAGAGGAACAUACACAUGUUUAGAGUCUCAACAUAGGCAAUAUUUGUUAGCAAUAAAAUAGAAAAAUUAAUUCAAGAACCAUGCAAGAGCCUAGGUUUUACUAUCAUUUUGACACCAUAGAGUAACAUCCAAGAAUACCACGAGUUGAUGCAUUAUUCUAGCAUAACCAAAUUAGAAACAUCCCUUGCUGUUCUAUUUUAACCUUACUACUACCUCCGUUCCUAAAUAUAUGAGAUCUUGGUUCAUUUCAGUAAUUUAGAAAGAGGGGUGAUGGGGCAUAGAACCUUGAGCCAUUGUUGUGGGGUUGUGGCUGAUGAAGGUUACCUUUUGGGGCCCCAAAUUAGAAACAUCCCUUGUUGUUCUAUUUUAACCUUACUACUACCUCCGUUCCUAAAUAUAUGAGAUCUUGGUUCAUUUCAGUAAUUUAGAAAGAGGGGUGAUGGGGCAUAGAACCUUGAGCCAUUGUUGUGGGGUUGUGGCUGAUGAAGGUUACCUUUUGGGGCCCCAAAGGCAGCUCCGCCAGAUGCAACAGCAACACCUCCAACAACCACAACAACAGCAGCAGCACCACCAAUAAUGACCUGCGUGGCAUUUCAGGUCAUCAUUACAGAAGAAAAUAAUUAAGAAACAAGCAACCAAUAUAGCUUCAGCAUUACAUGUACAGAUUUUAGCUUUUUCUACCUAAGUACAAAUAGCAAAAUGGAACAUAGGCAGGUUUAUUAUAUUUGACAGAGCUACUUGGACAAGAAAGAGAACAUAGCGCCGCGACUUGUUGAGGACAGAAAUAAUAAUGUUUGAUUCAUAAAUUACAAAUUAGUAAUAUGGGGAUUAAGAGCAUGCCCACAGAAAGCUAAUUGGCAAACAAAACUUAUUGGUCAGUUCUCAACAUAGAGCAAAGUGGCAAAUGAUAAUGUUUGUUACAAUAAUUAACAGGGCAGUAGCUCAACCUAAAGAAAGGCAGCAGAACUUAUAUGAAAGAAACCGAGUUGUAAGUGUAUAAAGAGCGAUCAAUGAUUCAUUCCGGAGACAAACAUUAAUAUGGGGAUUAAGAGCAUGCCCACAGAAAGCUAAUUGGCAAACAAAACUUAUUGGUCAGUUCUCAACACAGAGCAAAGUGGCAAAUGAUAAUGUUUGUUACAAUAAUUAACAGGGCAGUAGCUCAACCUAAAGAAAGGCAGCAGAACUUAUAUGAAAGAAACCGAGUUGUAAGUGUAUAAAGAGCGAUCAAUGAUUCAUUCUGGAGACAUGGUAAUUUCUUCUAACAUAUUGUACUAUCAAGUAAACUCUCACAAGAAAGAUGCCCCAGUAAGUAAGCUGAAUGGGUGACAAACUGAAUAGUGAAACAAGUUGAUAGUUGUACACUAUAGUGUUUUACGCAUAGUCAAACUGAAUGAACUAGAUGAUACCCCGCGCGUUGCUGCAGGACACUUAGUUGACGUUAAGGAUUUUCUUAUAAAUGAAAGAAUGAAAUGCCAAACUGGUUUUGAGAAUUCGAGAACAACAAUGUGACAAAAGCGUAAGUAUGCAUUGGCAGUAGAGUAGGUUUUCUUAAACAAUGAAUAGAGUGUAUUGCAACCUACUGGAUUAACAAUGCUUUGGUCACUGAGAUAUUUUCUUAAUUAUCUAAUAGUGUGAACUAUAUUAUUUGACACUGCACUGUAUAGUAAUAGGUUAGAGAGGAUAAUAAAGGGGGGCGUUGAGGAAGCAAGUACAUAAGUACAUGAUAUUUAUACAUUUAUAAAGGUAAAAGCUAAAAAACAUGUACACCUUUUUUUCCUUCGAUAAACAGAGAGAUUUGCAAUUGUCAUAUGACAUAUGAGUGCUAGAUUGUCCGUUUUAUACAAUUUUGAUUUGAUAGUAGCCAGUCAAGUAAGCGUUUUUUUGGGUGUGAAUUGAUCAACAGAAGUUUGAAGCAAUGAAUGAUGGUGCAAAUAGCUGUAUUUAAUUGCAUACGCUAGCAGUAGGAGGCAACCUUAUAUGAAGAUAAAAAAGGGGGUUCUCUAAGGUAACUAACAUUAUGUGACAAAAAUGAAAAAGGGGUCACCCUUAGUGGAUGCCAGAACGCAUGCAUCUUCUGAUUAGUACAAUGGUUCUCCUACAUGAAAGGAUUAACUGACAGGUGAUUUAGUAUCAUAUCUGCUCAAAUGAAAUUGCUUUGUCCGGCCGAGUCCGUAUGAACCUAUAUUAAGAUUAAACUUUGAGAACAUCCCAUGUCUAUAAAUAAACCUCAAGAACCAAUAAUAUUAUCAUAAUGAAAUAUGGUGCUGGAGGAGUACGAAAUUGUUACUAUUGAAAAUCAACGACGGUGCAGAGAACAUGAUAUAUUAUAUUUCAAACAGGAUGCUGCAACCACAUACAUACUAGAAGAAUCAAAUUAAGAAUCCUCUAUGGUUGCGACAAAGUUGAAAGUAAAAGAGAUGAAGUAAGGAGACACAUCCACCAAGAAAGGUCCAAAACUGAAAUGAAUGAUGUCUAUUAGAAUGGCCACGCAUGUUAAUAAAUCAAAGCUGAAACUCAAUUAGUAUCUAACAGAUACAGUAGUGCAGAAGAAUCAUCAAAAGAGAUAAACACUGCCAAACCAAAGGACCAGUUGUUUAAUUCUAAAACGGAACUGCUAAUUAUGCAGUCAAGGGAACAUAUACAAAUAAGAUUAAUGGAAUCCAAUUUAGUUAAUCUAAUAAAAAUGGUUUAGCUAUAACAGAGUUACCAUCCAGCAAUCAACUUGUUCUGAGUGAUUGAGGCGUGGACAUGUAGCUCAAUGAAUCCAACUUUGGCAAGAAAAAGCACCAAUGUUAACCGAUUCAAUCCAGCAGCACCAACAUGAGCAUGCAUGCGAGGCUGGUACUCAUAGGAAGCAUCAGAUAGGAUUAAUGGGAGUACCUGAGCUUGGGGACCCGCAAGGAGUUGAACU
RNAcentral lists this long non-coding RNA (3199 nucleotides) under Triticum aestivum (bread wheat). RNAcentral describes it as "long non-coding RNA (TAES_LNC005295)". Lineage: Eukaryota; Viridiplantae; Streptophyta; Magnoliopsida; Poales; Poaceae. The record is from RNAcentral.